This is a long non-coding RNA of Hypanus sabinus (Atlantic stingray), 448 nucleotides long. RefSeq lists it as uncharacterized. The transcript has 3 exons. The record is from RefSeq and is a predicted model, not a curated record. Lineage: Eukaryota; Metazoa; Chordata; Chondrichthyes; Myliobatiformes; Dasyatidae.
GUUCGGGAGGGGUUCCUCGCCCCCCUGGGGCGGACUAUUCUCUGCGGGGCAACACCAACAAUUUCCCUUCGAUUGUACCUGGAAUAUGGUGUAAAAUCCUGCUCCCCAUACUAACACGGAUUAUACAGACCAAAGAACAAACUGCCGGUAGAACUCAGUGGGUUGGGCAGCGUCUGUGGAGGAAAAUGGGCCGUCAAAAUUUCAAGCUGAGACCCGCCCUCUGGACUGAGAGUAGACGGGAAAUCCGUUCGUUGUUGAAGCAUAUUGUCAGCGUGAUCGGGAGAGGAAAUGGGUCCUCCGGGGGAGAGUUCCGAUUCCCACCGAAGUUGUGUUGCCAAUCCAUAGAGGUUUACGGAUCAGAUGCUGCUCAAUUGGCGCUGUGUGGUUUAGCAACGUAUAGCAUGCAGAAUUACGUCGGGCCGAAUUGUCUGUUUGCCAGAUGACCCUG